Molecule: ribosomal RNA, 1532 nt
Filed under: Escherichia coli
Lineage: Bacteria; Pseudomonadati; Pseudomonadota; Gammaproteobacteria; Enterobacterales; Enterobacteriaceae
Description: bacterial SSU rRNA
Rfam family: Bacterial small subunit ribosomal RNA
Source: RNAcentral
AGAGUUUGAUCAUGGCUCAGAUUGAACGCUGGCGGCAGGCCUAACACAUGCAAGUCGAACGGUAACAGGAAACAGCUUGCUGUUUCGCUGACGAGUGGCGGACGGGUGAGUAAUGUCUGGGAAACUGCCUGAUGGAGGGGGAUAACUACUGGAAACGGUAGCUAAUACCGCAUAACGUCGCAAGACCAAAGAGGGGGGACCUUCGGGCCUCUUGCCAUCAGAUGUGCCCAGAUGGGAUUAGCUAGUAGGUGGGGUAACGGCUCACCUAGGCGACGAUCCCUAGCUGGUCUGAGAGGAUGACCAGCCACACUGGAACUGAGACACGGUCCAGACUCCUACGGGAGGCAGCAGUGGGGAAUAUUGCACAAUGGGCGCAAGCCUGAUGCAGCCAUGCCGCGUGUAUGAAAGAAGGCCUUCGGGUUGUAAAGUACUUUCAGCGGGGAGGAAGGGAGUAAAGUUAAUACCUUUGCUCAUUGACGUUACCCGCAGAAGAAGCACCGGCUAACUCCGUGCCAGCAGCCGCGGUAAUACGGAGGGUGCAAGCGUUAAUCGGAAUUACUGGGCGUAAAGCGCACGCAGGCGGUUUGUUAAGUCAGAUGUGAAAUCCCCGGGCUCAACCUGGGAACUGCAUCUGAUACUGGCAAGCUUGAGUCUCGUAGAGGGGGGUAGAAUUCCAGGUGUAGCGGUGAAAUGCGUAGAGAUCUGGAGGAAUACCGGUGGCGAAGGCGGCCCCCUGGACGAAGACUGACGCUCAGGUGCGAAAGCGUGGGGAGCAAACAGGAUUAGAUACCCUGGUAGUCCACGCCGUAAACGAUGUCGACUUGGAGGUUGUGCCCUUGAGGCGUGGCUUCCGGAGCUAACGCGUUAAGUCGACCGCCUGGGGAGUACGGCCGCAAGGUUAAAACUCAAAUGAAUUGACGGGGGCCCGCACAAGCGGUGGAGCAUGUGGUUUAAUUCGAUGCAACGCGAAGAACCUUACCUGGUCUUGACAUCCACGGAAGUUUUCAGAGAUGAGAAUGUGCCUUCGGGAACCGUGAGACAGGUGCUGCAUGGCUGUCGUCAGCUCGUGUUGUGAAAUGUUGGGUUAAGUCCCGCAACGAGCGCAACCCUUAUCCUUUGUUGCCAGCGGUCCGGCCGGGAACUCAAAGGAGACUGCCAGUGAUAAACUGGAGGAAGGUGGGGAUGACGUCAAGUCAUCAUGGCCCUUACGACCAGGGCUACACACGUGCUACAAUGGCGCAUACAAAGAGAAGCGACCUCGCGAGAGCAAGCGGACCUCAUAAAGUGCGUCGUAGUCCGGAUUGGAGUCUGCAACUCGACUCCAUGAAGUCGGAAUCGCUAGUAAUCGUGGAUCAGAAUGCCACGGUGAAUACGUUCCCGGGCCUUGUACACACCGCCCGUCACACCAUGGGAGUGGGUUGCAAAAGAAGUAGGUAGCUUAACCUUCGGGAGGGCGCUUACCACUUUGUGAUUCAUGACUGGGGUGAAGUCGUAACAAGGUAACCGUAGGGGAACCUGCGGUUGGAUCACCU